Molecule: ribosomal RNA, 495 nt
Filed under: uncultured bacterium
Lineage: Bacteria
Description: partial 16S ribosomal RNA
Rfam family: Bacterial small subunit ribosomal RNA
Source: RNAcentral
GAUGAACGCUGGCGGCGUGCUUAACACAUGCAAGUCGAACGAAGCACCUUGAUUUGAUUCUUCGGAUGAAGAUCUUGGUGACUGAGUGGCGGACGGGUGAGUAACGCGUGGGUAACCUGCCUCAUACAGGGGGAUAACAGUUAGAAAUGACUGCUAAUACCGCAUAAGACCACAGUACCGCAUGGUACAGGGGUAAAAACUCCGGUGGUAUGAGAUGGACCCGCGUCUGAUUAGGUAGUUGGUGGGGUAACGGCCUACCAAGCCGACGAUCAGGAGCCGACCUGGGCGGGUGACCGGCGACAUUGGGACUGAGACACGGCCCAAAAUCCUGCGGGAGGCAGCGGUGGUGAAUAUUGCACAAUGGGGGGAACCCUGAUGCAGCGACGCCGCGUGAGCGAUGAAGUAUUUCGGUAUGUAAAGCUCUAUCAGCAGGGGAGAAAAUGACGGUACCUGACUAAGAAGCACCGGCUAAAUACGUGCCAGCCGCCGCGGUAA